CCUACGGGAGGCAGCAGUGGGGAAUAUUGCACAAUGGGCGAAAGCCUGAUGCAGCGAUGCCGCGUGAGGGAUGAAGGCUUUCAGGGUUGUAAACCUCUUUCAGCGGGGAAGAAGCGCAAGUGACGGUACCUGCAGAAGAAGCGCCGGCUAACUACGUGCCAGCAGCCGCGGUAAUACGUAGGGCGCAGGCGUUGUCCGGAAUUAUUGGGCGUAAAGAGCUCGUAGGCGGUUUGUCGCGUCUGGUGUGAGAACUCGAGGCUCAACCUCGAGCUUGCAUCGGGUACGGGCAGACUAGAGUGCGGUAGGGGAGACUGGAAUUCCUGGUGUAGCGGUGGAAUGCGCAGAUAUCAGGAGGAACACCGAUGGCGAAGGUAGGUCUCUGGGCCCGCAACUGACGCUGAGGAGCGAAAGCAUGGGGAGCGAACAGGAUUAGAUACCCUCGGUAGUCCAUGCCGUAAACGUUGGGCACUAGGGUGUGGGGCUCAUUCCACGAGUCUCCGUGCCGCAGCAAACGCAUUAAGUGCCCCGCCUGGGGAGUACGGCCGCAAGGCUAAAACUUAAAGGAAUUGACGG
This 573-nucleotide ribosomal RNA is filed under the name uncultured Cellulosimicrobium sp. RNAcentral's name for it is "bacterial SSU rRNA". It matches the Rfam family "Bacterial small subunit ribosomal RNA", at positions 338 to 916 of the family's 1533-position model. Lineage: Bacteria; Bacillati; Actinomycetota; Actinomycetes; Micrococcales; Promicromonosporaceae. The record is from RNAcentral.